GAUGAAGAACGGCAGCAAACUGCGAUACUUGGUGUGAAUUGCAGAAUCCCGUGAACCAUCGAGUCUUUGAACGCAAGUUGCGCUUGAAGCCAUUAGGCUGAGGGCACGUCUGCCUGGGCGUCACGUAAUGCGUCGCUCUCUCGCAGCUCGCCCCAUACGGGACGAGUGUUGCUAAUGGGGGCGGAGAAUGGCCUCCCGUGUGUAGUUGCGGCUGGCCUAAAUUGAAGUCCUUCAUUGCGGGUGUCACGAUAAGUGGUGGUUGAAAAGCUCAAGCGAGUCGUGCGCACCAUGCGAUUGAGGUGUGAUGUUUUGGACCCUAAGGCGAUCUCGUUCCCAAUGGAGGAGCAUUCGUCACGAUCGCGACCCCAGGUCAGGCGGGGCUACCCGCUGAGUUUAAGCAUAUCAAUAAGCGGAGGA
Molecule: unclassified non-coding RNA, 417 nt
Filed under: soil metagenome
Description: partial contains 5.8S ribosomal RNA, internal transcribed spacer 2, and large subunit ribosomal RNA
Rfam family: 5.8S ribosomal RNA (bases 1-123)
Source: RNAcentral